CGCGUGGGAAUCUACCUAGUAGUUGGGGACAACCUGGUGAAACCAGGCUAAUACCGAAUACGCCUACGGGGAAAGAUAGCCUCUUCUUGAAAGACUUUCGUCUAUUAGAUGAGCCCGCGUUGGAUUAGCUAGUUGGUGGGGUAAAGGGCCCACCAAGGCGACGAUCCAUAGCUGGUCUGAGAGGAUGAUCAGCCACACUGGGACUGAGACACGGCCCAGACUCCUACGGGAGGCAGCAGUGGGGAAUAUUGGACAAUGGGCGGCAAGCCUGAUCCAGCCAUGCCGCGUGAGUGAUGAAGG
This 300-nucleotide ribosomal RNA is filed under the name uncultured Gammaproteobacteria bacterium. RNAcentral describes it as "bacterial SSU rRNA". It matches the Rfam family "Bacterial small subunit ribosomal RNA", at positions 114 to 414 of the family's 1533-position model. Lineage: Bacteria; Pseudomonadati; Pseudomonadota; Gammaproteobacteria. The record is from RNAcentral.